GGAGUUUGGUCCGUGUCUCAGUACCAAUGUGGGGGACCUUCCUCUCAGAACCCCUACUGAUCGAUGGCUAGGUGGGCCGUUACCCCGCCUACUACCUAAUCAGACGCAUCCCCAGCCCAUACCGGAAAAACCUUUCAUACAACUCAGAUGCCUUCAUCGUACUACAUAGAGUAUUAAUCCGACUUUCGCCGGGCUAUCCUCUACUAAGGGGAAGGUUGGAUACGCGUUACUCACCCGUGCGCCGGUCGCCAUCAACAAAAGCAAGCUUUCGUCAUGAUGCCCCUCGACUUGCAUGUGUUAAGCCUGUAGCUAGCGUUCAUC
Molecule: ribosomal RNA, 321 nt
Filed under: uncultured Prevotella sp.
Lineage: Bacteria; Pseudomonadati; Bacteroidota; Bacteroidia; Bacteroidales; Prevotellaceae
Description: partial 16S ribosomal RNA
Source: RNAcentral